This 953-nucleotide ribosomal RNA is filed under the name bacterium N46. Its description in RNAcentral is "bacterial SSU rRNA". It matches the Rfam family "Bacterial small subunit ribosomal RNA", at positions 60 to 996 of the family's 1533-position model. The record is from RNAcentral.
AGUCGAGCGAACAGACGAGGAGCUUGCUCCUCUGACGUUAGCGGCGGACGGGUGAGUAACACGUGGAUAACCUACCUAUAAGACUGGGAUAACUUCGGGAAACCGGAGCUAAUACCGGAUAAUAUAUUGAACCGCAUGGUUCAAUAGUGAAAGACGGUUUUGCUGUCACUUAUAGAUGGAUCCGCGCCGCAUUAGCUAGUUGGUAAGGUAACGGCUUACCAAGGCAACGAUGCGUAGCCGACCUGAGAGGGUGAUCGGCCACACUGGAACUGAGACACGGUCCAGACUCCUACGGGAGGCAGCAGUAGGGAAUCUUCCGCAAUGGGCGAAAGCCUGACGGAGCAACGCCGCGUGAGUGAUGAAGGUCUUCGGAUCGUAAAACUCUGUUAUUAGGGAAGAACAAAUGUGUAAGUAACUAUGCACGUCUUGACGGUACCUAAUCAGAAAGCCACGGCUAACUACGUGCCAGCAGCCGCGGUAAUACGUAGGUGGCAAGCGUUAUCCGGAAUUAUUGGGCGUAAAGCGCGCGUAGGCGGUUUUUUAAGUCUGAUGUGAAAGCCCACGGCUCAACCGUGGAGGGUCAUUGGAAACUGGAAAACUUGAGUGCAGAAGAGGAAAGUGGAAUUCCAUGUGUAGCGGUGAAAUGCGCAGAGAUAUGGAGGAACACCAGUGGCGAAAGCGACUUUCUGGUCUGUAACUGACGCUGAUGUGCGAAAGCGUGGGGAUCAAACAGGAUUAGAUACCCUGGUAGUCCACGCCGUAAACGAUGAGUGCUAAGUGUUAGGGGGUUUCCGCCCCUUAGUGCUGCAGCUAACGCAUUAAGCACUCCGGCCUGGGGGAGUACGACCGCAAGGUUGAAACUCAAGGAAUUUGACGGGGACCCGCACAAGCGGUGGAGCAUGUGGUUUAAUUCGAAGCACGCGAGACCUUACAAAUCUUGACAUCUCUGACCC